UACGGAGGGAGCUAGCGUUGUUCGGAAUUACUGGGCGUAAAGCGCACGUAGGCGGCUUUGUAAGUUAGAGGUGAAAGCCCGGAGCUCAACUCCGGAAUUGCCUUUAAGACUGCAUCGCUUGAAUCCAGGAGAGGUGAGUGGAAUUCCGAGUGUAGAGGUGAAAUUCGUAGAUAUUCGGAAGAACACCAGUGGCGAAGGCGGCUCACUGGACUGGUAUUGACGCUGAGGAGCGAAAGCAUGGGGAGCGAACAGG
This 253-nucleotide ribosomal RNA is filed under the name uncultured bacterium. Its description in RNAcentral is "partial 16S ribosomal RNA". It matches the Rfam family "Bacterial small subunit ribosomal RNA", at positions 524 to 776 of the family's 1533-position model. The record is from RNAcentral.